This 901-nucleotide ribosomal RNA is filed under the name uncultured archaeon. Its description in RNAcentral is "bacterial SSU rRNA". It matches the Rfam family "Archaeal small subunit ribosomal RNA", at positions 1 to 879 of the family's 1478-position model. The record is from RNAcentral.
UUCCGGUUGAUCCUGCCGGACCUACUGCUAUCGGGGGAGGACUAAAACAUGCAAGUCGUGCGUCUCCAAGCCAUGGUGGAGACGCGGCAUACGGCUCAGUAACACGUGGCUAACCUACCCUUAGGACGGGGACAACCCCGGGAAACUGGGGCUAAUCCCCGAUAGGUGAGGAGGCCUGGAAUGGUUCUUCGCUGAAAAGGCGUUGAAACCAUGCUUUUCAACGUCGCCUAAGGAUGGGGCCGCGCCCGAUCAGGUUGUUGGUGGGGUAACGGCUCACCAAGCCUAUAACCGGUACGGGCCGUGAGAGCGGGAGCCCGGAGAUGGGCACUGAGACAAGGGCCCAGGCCCUACGGGGCGCAGCAGUCGCGAAAACUCCGCAAUGCGCGAAAGCGUGACGGGGCUACCCCGAGUGCCGUCCGCUGAGGAUGGCUUUUCCCCGGUGUAAUGAGCCGGGGGAAUAAGGAGAGGGCAAGACUGGUGUCAGCCGCCGCGGUAAUACCAGCUCUCCGAGUGGUAGGGACGAUUAUUGGGCUUAAAGCGUCCGUAGCCGGCUUAGCAAGUCUCCUGUUAAAUUCAGCGACUCAAUCGUUGAGCCGCGGGGGAUACUACUAGGCUAGGAGGCGGGAGAGGUCGACGGUAUUCCCGGGGGAGGGGUGAAAUCCUAUAAUCCCGGGAGGACCACCAGUGGCGAAGGCUGUCGGCUAGAACGCGCUCGACGGUGAGGGACGAAAGCUGGGGGAGCGAACCGGAUUAGAUACCCGGGUAGUCCCAGCUGUAAACGAUGCGGGCUAGGUGUUGAGGUGGCUACGAGCCACUUCAGUGCCGCAGGGAAGCCAUUAAGCCCGCCGCCUGGGGAGUACGGCCGCAAGGCUGAAACUUAAAGGAAUUGGCGGGGGAGCAC